RNAcentral lists this long non-coding RNA (290 nucleotides) under Mytilus galloprovincialis (Mediterranean mussel). The record is from RNAcentral. Lineage: Eukaryota; Metazoa; Mollusca; Bivalvia; Mytilida; Mytilidae.
CGUGUGAUAUGAUAUUAUGAAAAGGGCAUGUUUUAAUAAAGAUAUUAAUCAAACAUUGUGUUUAUUCGUUGAAAUCACUGGUUAUACAAGAACUUCAUCAUUAGCCCAUAUAGAACUCUAUCUAUUCUACUUUUUAGGCUGUAACUUGUCAAGCAGCUUGUCACACAAGUUUUUAAAUCAUUGCUUGGCACAGUUAAGCUUUAUAUGCAGCAUGUUUGAAAGGUGUCCUGCUUCAUUCUGUUUCUAUGGUCUGAUACACUUUACCAGUUUCACCUUUCUACCUCUGCUGU